CGGUAAUUCCAGCUCCAAUAGUGUAUAUUAAAGUUGUUGCAGUUAAAAAGCUCGUAGUUGAACUUCUGGCAGCGUGCAGAUUUGGCUUCGGUCAGUCUGUUCGUUGUCAUCCGUCUGCAAACCUUGUACGUCCUUGAGUGGUUCGGUGAGGGGAGUAGACAUUUUACUUUGAAAAAAUUAGAGUGUUUCAAGCAGGCUUUUGCCAGAAUACUUUAGCAUGGAAUAAUGGAAUAGGACUCUUGUCCAUUUGGUUGGUUAUUGGACCGGAGUAAUGAUUAAUAGGGACAGUUGGGGGCAUUAGUAUUUAAUUGUCAGAGGUGAAAUUCAUGGAUUUAUUAAAGACUAACUUACGCGAAAGCAUUUGCCAAGGAUGUUUUCAUUAAUCAAGAACGAAAGUUAGGGGAUCAAAGACGAUCAGAUACCGUCCUAGUCUUAACUAUAAACGAUGUCGACUCGGGAUUGGAAAGGUAACUAUUAUCCUUUCCAGCACCGUAUGAGAAAUCAUUAAGUCUUUGGAUUCUGGGGGGAGUAUGGUCGCAAGGCUGAAACUUAAAGGAAUUGACGGAAGAGCACCACCAGGCGUGGGACCUGCGGCUUAAUUUGACUCAACACGGGAAAACUUAUUUCAGCAAAACAUGAGUGGGAUUGACAGAUUGAGAGCUCUUUCUUGAUUUUAUGGGGUGUGGUGCAUGGCCGUUCUUAGUUGGUGGAGUGAUUUGUCUGGUUAAUUCCGUUAACGAACGAGAUCCCACCCCUUCGAUUUCAGUUAUAUCGUACGUAAUCAUUGGACGCUAGCUCAUGUGGUUCGUCCGUUGGUGAGAUCUAAGAUGUAUGCAAGGGGACUAUGUGUGUUGAUAACACAUUGAAGUCUGGGCCAAUAGCAGGUCUGUGAUGCUCCUAGAUGUUCUGGGCUGCACGCGGCAUACAAUGGUGAAAGCAGUAGGAUUGGUUCGAUCGAGCUCCUGUUUCGAAAGUAUUGGGAAAUCCCCUCAGAUUUGACUGUGGCUGGGAUAGACAAUUGCAACUGUUUGUCUUGAACUAGGAAUGCCUUGUAAGCACAUCUCAUUACAGUGUAUUGAAUGCGUCCCUGCCGUUUGUACACACCGCCCGUCGUUGCAAUCGAUUGGUUUGAUCGUAGAGUACUUCUGGAGAAACACCAGCAGGCUCUCUCGAGUCUGAUGAUUGGGUUGAAGUUGAGCAAUACUGUGGAACUAGAGAAUGCAAAAGUCGUAACAAGGUAGCCG
RNAcentral lists this ribosomal RNA (1244 nucleotides) under uncultured ciliate. RNAcentral describes it as "SSU rRNA". It matches the Rfam family "Eukaryotic small subunit ribosomal RNA", at positions 577 to 1805 of the family's 1831-position model. Lineage: Eukaryota; Ciliophora. The record is from RNAcentral.